Molecule: long non-coding RNA, 430 nt
Organism: Etheostoma spectabile (orangethroat darter)
Lineage: Eukaryota; Metazoa; Chordata; Actinopteri; Perciformes; Percidae
Exons: 2
Source: RefSeq, a predicted model, not a curated record
AUGAUUUGGGAUGAAUUGUAUAAAUGAAAAUAUUUUAAAGAAAUUCAGUUUUCUGUCAUAGCGGAGUGAAGAAACUAGAAAAUAUCCACAUUUGAGAAGCAGGAAUCAGAAUUUUGACUUUUUUUAAAUAAAAAAUGAUCAAAAUAGUUGACGGUUAAUCUUUGCAUUUCUUAAACACUACAAUGCCAAUUAGCUGAAGCCCAUUAAACCUCAUCUAAACAUACCUAACCUUAUAGCAAUACCAUUGCUAACAACUGACACUGACUGCCCAUGUUUAUUUACUUACAUGAUUUCCAUUGGACUUUGAAUCAACAGAGGGCAGUUCCUUUUAUCUCCACAACACAGAAAAAGCUAAACGCAUGCUACAUAUUUUUUUGUUUUGUUAAUGUAGCACUCAAUUGAUGCUAUUAAAAUCAGAGUACUUCUCAUG